This is a long non-coding RNA of Phacochoerus africanus (Common warthog), 524 nucleotides long. RefSeq lists it as uncharacterized. The record is from RefSeq and is a predicted model, not a curated record. Lineage: Eukaryota; Metazoa; Chordata; Mammalia; Artiodactyla; Suidae. The transcript has 4 exons.
CAUCCGUCUUACGGAGGCACUAAGCGAGACCGAAGGAGCCCAGCGACUUGCCCCGCGGCGCACAGCCCCAGAGCAGCUGAGUAGAGAGCCCCGGGGCGGGUUUCAGCUCCUCAGGACCCUCGAUUUAGGCGCCUCUCACGGCGGCAUGCAGAGCACAACCGUGGAUCCUCCGGGGUACAUGCUCUGAACUCUAGAUUUGGUGGACGUUUCAGGAAAUUCUGCAAAAAGGCAGGCUAAGAAUCUAGGAGGAUCGGAGAGAAAUGCUCAGACGGUGCGGGGGAGGGGAAGGCAGUCCGAAGAUCUUGCAUUUAAAAAGGGAGAAAAAAAGGCUCCAGAGUUCCUAACCCGCUGGGGGCCAUUGACUGGAAGCACUAACGCAGAAGGACCUCAUUAGUGACUUCAUGAAAUCCAAGGGUUCCACAUAUCAUUACUGAAGUGGAUUCAUUUCCACUAUGAGGAGAUGUCAGGCGCUGAACACAUGUUCGUUGAAUGAAUGAAUAAAUGAAUCAAAACCUGUGACUCAC